This 88-nucleotide transfer RNA is filed under the name Deltaproteobacteria bacterium RIFCSPHIGHO2_02_FULL_44_16. RNAcentral describes it as "tRNA-Ser". It matches the Rfam family "tRNA". Rfam says of the family: Transfer RNA (tRNA) molecules are approximately 80 nucleotides in length. Lineage: Bacteria; Deltaproteobacteria. RNAcentral also lists the same sequence under 1 other name. The record is from RNAcentral.
GGAGAGAUGGCCGAGCGGCUGAAGGCGCACGCUUGGAAAGCGUGUUUACCUUACGGUAACGUGGGUUCGAAUCCCACUCUCUCCGCCA